This 441-nucleotide ribosomal RNA is filed under the name uncultured bacterium. RNAcentral's name for it is "partial 16S ribosomal RNA". It matches the Rfam family "Bacterial small subunit ribosomal RNA", at positions 338 to 795 of the family's 1533-position model. The record is from RNAcentral.
CCUACGGGUGGUAGCAGUGGGGAAUAUUGCGCAAUGGGGGCAACCCUGACGCAGCAACGCCGCGUGAUUGAAGAAGGCCUUCGGGUUGUAAAGAUCUUUAAUCGGGGACGAAUUUUGACGGUACCCGAAGAAUAAGCUCCGGCUAACUACGUGCCAGCAGCCGCGGUAAUACGUAGGGAGCAAGCGUUAUCCGGAUUUACUGGGUGUAAAGGGCGUGUAGGCGGGCAUGCAAGCCAGAAGUGAAAUCUGGGGGCUUAACCCCCAAACUGCUUUUGGAACUGCGUGUCUUGAGUGAUGGAGAGGCAGGCGGAAUUCCCAGUGUAGCGGUGAAAUGCGUAGAUAUUGGGAGGAACACCAGUGGCGAAGGCAGUUCACUGGACUGCAACUGACACUGAGGCUCGAAAGUGUGGGUAUCAAACAGGAUUAGAUACCCCAGUAGUC